GUGUUCAAAACCCGGGCCUGGACGGUUGUGGAGAUGGUGGACGCCGACGCGCGCGCCCCGCCUCCCGACAGUGCCCAGCGCGGAGCCUGGAGCCGAGGCCGUCACAGCGUGGCCGGGGCGUCCUGGAGGGACCCCCACCGACCCAAGCCUGGCGACGACCAUGUCAGCGUCUCCCGUCGGCGGCUUUGAAGUCCCGGGAGCCGCCGGAGAGCCGAGGCCGCGCCAUUGGAACCCGGGAGCAUUUGGCUACCUCGGGCGCCCUCUGCUGGAUGGAGCUCCAGCUGCCUCUGCUUAGAAAUCUUCAUUCUCUAUCCAGAAAGAAUUUGUCAGAAUGAGAGCCAUGAAGAAUUCUAGCAUCUCUCUGACACUCAAGUGCCCUAUGUGCUCCUUCGCUGGAACCCUUGCUCUGGCAACAACACCAAAACAGGACCAUUCUCACCGUAUUCUGGCAUCAAGGAGUGGACUAUCAUAAGGGUUUAAGACCAUGAAACCAGAGUGCCUCUGGCUUCUACCCAAUGAACAAGGGCAGUAGCCUCUCCAAGCUGGCAUCUUCUUCUCUCUGAUGAGAGGCCCUGGGCUGCAGAGAUUCCCCGCUGGAAGACAUCAUCCUGUGCUGACAGAAUGGCAGGAGAGCUCCGAUCUCCUCGUUAUCCAGAUGUGCUUAGGAAAGCCAACAGCUGGAAAGGACAUGUUUGCCCACAGAAAAAACAAUGAAUGAGAUUGGCAACGCCAAUUCUGUCAUUCAUGGGAGCAAAACACGACAUCGUUACACUCAAGAUUUUAUCCAUCUGAAACAGGAUUGUGUUUUCUGUGGUGUGAAAUGUUCCUGAAGGGUUCUCAGAGUUGUGGGCUGGAAUCUUCCUGUCCAGUUACAGAAUAAUGACCCAGAACAGAUAACGAAUUUCAGAGGAUGGAGAAGCAAGUGCAACAGAAUGCCGGCGGGGGGCUCUUGUGAGAGUGAAUUGAGCCUUGACAAGUGAUGCUCCUGGACUCGCCAUGGGAUUACGUGCCAGUACACACAUCGUAAAUUGAAAAGUGCCAUAAAUUAAAAUGCACUAAGUGCUCCUACCCUGUCAGACAUCCUAGCUUCGCAGCACAGCACGCUGGAGAGCGUCAUGGACACCAGGCCGACUGGAAGCUGUGCGCUCUGCCGCUGCCCAGCAUCCCCAGAGACAAUGGUGCUGCGUUCUGCUAGCAAAGACCCCGAUUCAAAGCCCAAAAGUGGGAAGAAGGCGGUGGGAGUGACUUCUGCACAAACAACAGCUGAGAGGAGCCCUAAGCCGGGCAGUCUCUGGGAGGAGCAGCUGCAGAAAACACUGGGAAGAACCCCCGCGCUGGAAUCCAACAGACCUCAUUCAGAUGCAGGAGGUGCCCCCUCUCCACUCGUGGGCUCUUGAGCAGGGCACUCGAUCUCCCUCAACACUCAUUUCCUCAUCUGCAAAAUGAGGAUUCUCACUGGAAGAAGACUAUAGAACUCAAGGUAAUCAAAACAAGUUCAAAGGCCAGACAACAGAAGAAUUUAUUGGCUUCAACGUCAUGAUCAUUAAACAACAGUCUUCAAACACUACUGGCAUUUAUUCCACUUGACGAUGGAAGCUUCAUGAACUCUUCACAAAGAUGAAGGGGAACUGUGUAUGUUACUGCAACAUUUGGGUAUCAAGAGUCUAAAUAUGGGCAAGAGAAAUCAGGCUAAGCUAUUAUUGCCAGAAUGAACCUACAUGCCAGAACUUGAGAAAUGGAAAGAAUGAAAUGGCAUUAGAAUUCUCUCUCAUUUGUAGAAACGUCUUAGAUACAAGCCAAUUUAAUACCUACCAUGCAAAUAGCAAUGACUUGUCCAAGGAAAUAUUGAAAUCUAUUAAGGCUGCAUGUGCAUAAUCCGAUUCAACAAGUCAGGAUAUUUUUCUCAAAAACAUAAUAUCUUUUUGGCAUUGUGUGAGAUGAAGGUUAGAUUACAUUUCUUGCCUGCGCAAUAAUUCCCACAUCAUAAAUUCUGAUGAAAUUAUAUCAAUAUAUAAAGCAAAUGGAUGUCUGACCCACCAUCGUUUUCUAGUUCUCAAAGAGAGGCUGACAUGGCAGCAAAUCCCCAGCUGCUCAGAGCAAUGCUAUUACAGCCUGCUUUUGCCUGGGAACUGUUAUUAACUAUCUUGACCAGGAGCGGCUGUUAGAGUUUGUGGUUUCUGCUCUGAAUAUUAAACUUGGGCAUACAAGAGUCCUUAUUGUGGGGAGCACUUGGAAAUGGUAAUGCAAAAUUGCUUUAUAUUUGCGGGAUUUGAUUGCUGUAGAUGAUACAGCGCUAGCUGGUGGGCCUCUCUUGCUGCUUGCAUUUCCAGAUUAUAAAUCAUUCCUUCGACAGGGUAUCUGCCACAACCCGGUCUCAGUUUCCAUGGUAUCAUUUUUUAUAUUAUAACUGGCAAGUGCUCUUCUGGACCGUUCAUAUAAAUGACACAUUUCACAUAAUUUAUGAGAAUGGGGUUGAAAUCAAAGCCAAUAAGGGCCUCCCCAAGUUUUCUUGGACAUGUCAAGGCAUCUCAGGCUUGGUGUUUUGGGGAGAGUGGGUCACAGACAUAAAUGUCAGAUUUCUGAAUGGCAUUCAUAGGAACUGUGUUGAUCAAUAGCAAAUUCAGUACUGCAAAGCUCCAUUCACAAUUAGUCAGUCAGUAACAGUCAACUUUCAAGAGCAAAAUGUGUCUGUGUGGCUGCAUUUGAUGGAUCACAUGUACAGAAGGUGGCUAGAAGAAGGCACCUUUAUUUUCUCCUUCUGAAAAUAAGGCAUUGGAUGAGGUGGUUUGCAGAGACCCUUCCGGUUUUGGUGCAUUGGUAGCUCCAAAAUUCACUGUUGAAAUUAAAAGACAACAAGACAGAUGAUGGUGUUGAGUGUAUGCUGUGUCCUUGUCGCAAACCUCAAGAUUAGAUUUAGACCUGAGAUAUAAUUUUUUUUUUCAUUUAUUUAUUUUCAACUUAUUUGAAAGGUAGAGGGACAGAGAGAGAUCUUGCA
Oryctolagus cuniculus (rabbit) is the source of this 2995-nucleotide non-coding RNA. Lineage: Eukaryota; Metazoa; Chordata; Mammalia; Lagomorpha; Leporidae. The record is from RefSeq and is a predicted model, not a curated record.